Gorilla gorilla gorilla (western lowland gorilla) is the source of this 14986-nucleotide RNA transcript. It is a transcript of the gene named BOS complex subunit NOMO3-like, with no coding region annotated. The transcript has 15 exons. Lineage: Eukaryota; Metazoa; Chordata; Mammalia; Primates; Hominidae. The record is from RefSeq and is a predicted model, not a curated record.
GUUUGCAUUUUUUAAAGUUCUGCCUGGAGAUUAUGAAAUCCUCGCAACUCAUCCAACCUGGGCGUUGAAAGAGGCAAGCACCACAGUGCGUGUAACCAACUCCAAGGCCAAUGCGGCCAGUCCCCUCAUAGUUGCUGGCUACAAUGUGUCUGGCUCUGUCUGAAGUGAUGGGGAGCCCAUGAAAGGGGUGAAGUUUCUUCUCUUUUCUUCUUUAGUAACUAAAGAGGAUGUCCUGGGCUGCAAUGUCUCACCAGUGCCUGGGUUCCAACCCCAAGACGAGAGUCUGGUGUAUUUGUGCUACACGGUCUCCAGAGAAGAUGGCUCGUUCUCUUUCUAUUCCUUGCCAAGUGGGGGCUACACUGUGAUUCCGUUCUAUCGAGGGGAGAGGAUUACCUUUGAUGUGGCGCCUUCCAGACUUGACUUCACAGUGGAGCAUGACAGCCUGAAAAUCGAGCCCGUGUUCCAUGUCAUGGGAUUCUCCGUCACCGGGAGGGUCUUGAACGGACCCAAAGGAGAUGGUGUUCCAGAAGCAGUAGUCACCCUGAAUAACCAAAUCAAAGUUAAAACAAAAGCUGAUGGCUCAUUCCGCCUUGAGAACAUAACCACAGGGACAUACACCAUCCAUGCUCAGAAAGAGCACCUCUACUUUGAAAUGGUCACCAUCAAAAUUGCACCGAACACGCCUCAGCUGGCUGACAUUAUUGCAACAGGGUUCAGUGUCUGUGGUCAGAUAUCAAUCAUUCGCUUCCCCGACACCAUCAAGCAGAUGAAUAAAUACAAAGUUGUCCUGUCAUCUCAAGACAAGGACAAGUCUUUGGUCACCGUGGAGACAGAUGCUCAUGGAUCAUUUUGUUUUAAAGCAAAACCAGGGACUUACAAAGUGCAGGUGAUGGUUCCUGAGGCAGAAACCAGAGCACGGCUGACGUUGAAACCCCAGACAUUUCCUCUUACUGUGACCGACAGGCCCGUGAUGGAUGUGGCCUUUGUACAGUUCUUGGCAUCAGUUUCUGGGAAAGUCUCCUGUUUGGACACCUGCGGUGAUUUGCUGGUGACUCUACAGUCCCUGAGCCGCCAGGGUGAGAAGCGGAGCCUCCAGCUCUCCGGCAAGGUCAACGCCAUGACUUUCACCUUUGACAACGUGCUCCCUGGAAAAUACAAAAUAAGCAUCAUGCAUGAGGAUUGGUGCUGGAAGAACAAGAGCCUGGAGGUGGAAGUGCUGGAGGAUGACGUGUCUGCAGUUGAGUUCAGGCAGACGGGCUACAUGCUGAGAUGUUCCCUGUCUCACGCCAUCACUCUGGAAUUUUAUCAGGAUGGAAAUGGGCGUGAGAAUGUGGGGAUUUAUAACCUCUCCAAAGGAGUCAACCGAUUCUGCCUGUCCAAGCCUGGUAAGUUUGGAAGGAUUGAUGUGCCAUGAAUUAGAAAAAUGGAAAGGCACCAGAGGUGUGUACAAAGUGACCCCUCGCUCCUGCCACCGGUUUGAGCAAGCGUUCUACACCUAUGACACGUCUUCACCUAGUAUCUUGACAUUGACAGCCAUUCGCCACCAUGUCCUUGGAACUAUCACCACCGACAAAAUGGUGGAUGUCACUGUGACUAUCAACUCUCCCCCAGUCAUUCAAAGACACUGUGACCAGCUGGCCAGGUGACAAGAAGUCCUAGGGCACAAGCCUGAAGCCUUCGGGAGAAAUUUCAGCUUUACAGGGGGCAGAAUGUUUGGUAACUAUUUAGAUUUAAAGCAGAAGCACUUUGGAUUGAGCAAUUUCAUAUGUGACAACUGUCUUUGCCACAAGCAACAGCAGAGACCUGCAGAUGAGAACACCUUUAUGAAGAGCAAGACCAUGCUUUGAAGUUGGACAGAGAUCUUGGUUCAAAUCCUGCCUCUGCCGCUUGUUAGCUAAGUCACUUCAGAAAGUCUGUACCUCCCCGAGGACAUCUCAUGCCCACAGCAGCCCAGCAGUGAGUCCUCACCAACCCAGACUGACUUUCCAGCCUCAUAUCCUCAAAGGAUCUGACAUUUUCCAGCCACCAACCUUGGUUUGCACCAUGCCCUUCAUCAAAAAUGUCUUUGCUUCUCUUUGAUGCCUGGGUAUCUAUUCCUUUAGAACCCAUUUCAAAUUUCUCCUCCUUAAAGAUGCCGUUGGUCACUGUUCCAAUCUGUAGGAUACUCUGUUUUGCCCAGAUCCCUUCUGCACUGCCUUCUGGGACUCAGAUACAGAGGGGGCAAAACAUCCCGGAAGGGGUGGGGCCCAUGGACUGCUCUUGGAGUGGGGACAGAGAUCACCACGAGAUGGCGCUAUUGAGCCAUCACUGUCAAUUGGUUUUUCUCUGUUUUCAUUUUCUUACUUGAUGAGAAAUGUGUGAUUUCCAAAUAGUCCCAGAAGGAAUAGAACUGUGACUGUGUCCCGCCACUAAAAAGGUGGUUUUGCAUAUCUCUGAUCGUCCUAUCGCAUCGCCCACUGUUAAAAAUUCCAUCCCCACACCCAGGGGAUUUAGAAGGAGAAUAUCACACACUUGCCACCACCCCCAAUCCAUGCAAAUACCUUGGUACUUGCUAUAGACACUUGGUACACAAAUACUGCCUCAGCCUUUUAUUAAAUUAUAUUUUAUAUAUUGCAUCAGAGUAUUAAGCCCUUAGGGGUAGGACCUGGGGUCCAUGCCAACUUACUAGAACGGUGUCGACUUCUCUAGGAUAUGGAAUCCACACAGCUCCUUGGAAAGCUGGAAAAUGCAGUUUUGAAGCAACCUGCUUCAUUUCCACACCAAUGGAAAGGAAAGUGAUAAAUCCUUUAUGGCCAAGAGUCAGUUCUGUUUAUUUCUUCCUGGAAAUGCUAUUGAUGGUGGCUGGGGAAGUUGUUUGUUUUUUAAUCUUUCCCUUGGCAAGGUCUCCUUACUCAUAGCCCUUCCUUAUGUUCCCCAAAUGGUGCAGGGGGCAGUGUUCAGAAGCCCAGUAUGCAGGUCUUGCACAGAGGAGAAUUAUGGCUUAAAGAAACUUGGCUAAGCGCGGUGGCUCACACCUGUAAUCCCAGCACUUUGGGUAGGCCAAGGCAGGCAGAUCGCUUGAGUCCAGGAGUUUGAGACCAGCCUGGGCAACCUGAUGAGACCCCAUCUCUACAAAAAAUUAGCCAGGGAUGGUGGUGCAUGCCUGUAGUCCCAGCUACUCGGGAGGCUGAAAUGGGAAAACUGCCUGAGUCCAAAAGGUGGAUACUAAAGUGAGCCAAGAUUGUGCCACUGUACUCCAGUCUAGGUGAUAGGGUGAGACCCUGUCUCAAAAAAAACAAAACAAAAUAAAAACCAACAACAGAAAAAGAAACUUGGGUGGGAUCAUGUGUCCAGGCCUCAGCACUGUUGUCCGUUACUCUAACUCCUGCAGAGAGGUCCUUGAACAGAUGUAAGCGGACACACCUUGAAGUCAAGGUGCUCUUUGCAAAGCAACACAAUGUUAUUGACAUAUUCCAUUUGAAUAACCAAAUUUUGUAGUUGAUUGUGCGCUAAGGUGGAUACGCAUUACAUUAUGUUCUUAUGUAGGGAAGUAGAAGUUAGUGCCAAGAUUUAAAGAAAAAUCAGUGGGGAAAAUAACAGUUGAAUCUUAUUUGUUUAAAAACUUAGGACUUAUUUAUUCUUCUGUCCACCCAUUCAUAUAUACAUUUAACAAAAGUAUUUGAAAUUAGUUUCAUAUUGCUAUUUAUUUUAAAAAUAGGUAUUAUACACAUAUGGCUCAAAAUUGGAAAGAUACAAGAGUGUAUAGUAAAAGGUAGUUUCCACUCCCAUCCUUGUCCUAACCAGUUUGUUUCUUCACAGAAAUGGCAACCACUAUUGAUAGUUUUCUAUGUUCCCCUUGAGAAAUAUUCUAUAUUGUAAAUGCAUAUUCAUCUAUUCAUUUAUUCACCCAUCUAUCCAUUUAUUCAUCUACCCAUCCAUUUAUUGUCUAGCCACCUAUCCAUAGAUGGAUCCAUUUAUGCAUCCAUCAAUUUAUUCAUCUAUUUACCCAUCCAUCCAUUCAUCCAUUUAUCCAUCCAUCUAUUUACUUUCCAUUAAUCUAUCCAUUCUUUCAUCCACUUAUCCAUCCAUCUAUCCAUCCACUUUGCAUUCAUCUGUCCAUUCAUUCAUCCAUCCAUUUAUCCAUUCAUUCAUCUAUUUAUCCAUCUAUUCAUUUACUUAACCAUUUAUCCAUCCAUCUAUCCAUCCACACACACAUCCAUUUAUCCAUCUAAUCCAUUCAUUAAUCCAUUUACCCAUCUAUGUCAUUUUUUUCCAGGAAGAGGAAAAGGGCAGCCAUUAUUUGGUUUUAGAUGGUAGACCAAAUUUGUGCUACUGUUCCACAGGAAAAGAGAUUUGGAACCACUCCUUGGUGUUAAGCCAGCCACUCCAAAGCUGUAGUGUUGCAAUGUCAUACAUCUGUCAGGGAAGCCUGAACAUUUUAAAAACAAUUGGGUAUGGCUAUUCAGAUUUUAUUUUGGCCCAGCAUAAUGAGUUUGUGUUUGAUUCUGAAGGAGAGGGAGAUUUGUAAUAAAUCAGCAAGUGAAAUUAAAAGUGAGCCAGUGAGGUGCCAUAAAAGGGUGGUUGGAAUCAGACAUUCUCAAAUCCAUAUCCUAUCCCCACCCAUGUUAAAAGCUAUAUAGGAGGUUAUUUAGCUUCUUGGGAGUCUCAAUUUUCCUCUUAUGUUCUGAGAUGGGGAUAAUUGUAUUUUUCUUUGCAGGUUAAAGGCUAACACAAUGCUUGGAUAUAGUCAGUGCUCAUGUGGUAACUGCCCUUAACAUUAUUAAGCCCACAUAAUUCUCUUCUUUUUUGUAAGCAGUUGAGAUCUUUAGGUUGAAGAUUCAAUAUACAAUGUAACAGAGUCAGAGGGUGGGUGGCAAAAGGUACAUACAUACUGCAGGGCAGGGACUUGGAGUAUGGAAUGGAGAAAUAGCAGAGGACAUCUUCCAGCUGCAGUUGGGAUGGGUGCUGAGCUACAAAGCUACUAGAGAAAUAGGAAACUCAGGUCUCAUCAUUGCAGGGACCCUUGUUUCCUGCAAAGAAUCCUUGGAGAAAUCUCUCCCACUGUCUCUGGGCAUUGUAUUCAGAAAUGUCUGGCCUGGAUGAUAGUCUUCCUGCUUUUGGCCUCACCCUCUAUCCACUGUCCUCUGCUGAAUCUUUCUAAAAUGCUUGCUUAAAACUCCUUAUCGCCUUCAGGAGAAAGUUAAAUCCUUUACCACACAAGGCCAUUACCUGGGGGCCCUUUCUAACUCCUCCCACCUCAAUUUUGUCCUCUUUCUGCAGGUAUCUAAGUGUCAUGAUUUAGAUGUCCUGGCAUGCACUGUGCUCUUUUUCUGGAAGCCUCUUUUCUUUCUUCAUCCAACUACCUCCUCUUCUUCCUUCAAGACUCAGCUGAGACUCUCUUGAGCAAAUUUUCCAAGACUCCUUAAGGGGAAGGACCUGGUCCAAGUUGACUUGGUGUCUCCGUCAUCAAGCACAAUGCCUGGUUCACAAUGGACUCUUCAUGCAUCUCUUUCUAUAACAUGAGAAGGAUCAGAGGGUGAGGAUUGGAGCUGGGUGUCUUAAAAAUCUGUGAGAGUCGAAGCUAAGCCAGUGAUGUUUGCUUUGUAGCUAUUCUUGUGAUAUUACAAUCCUUCAGAGUGGUGAGGUUGGUGGGAGUGGUAAAAACAAACAAACAAACAAACAAAACCUAGUUUCUUUGUCUUGGAUUUUCCUGUCUCAGUUUAUAGAGAGAGACUAUCCAUCAUAUUUUAUUUUAGCUUAACCAAAGUUUUACUUUUUGUUGUUUCUUUUUUUCUUUGCUGGGAUCUUAAAAGAGAUUGAAUAAAAAUUCAGUUGUAGGAAUGGCUUUACCUUCCUCUCUGGUCUUGGUGUUUUGUUUUUAGACUAUGAUAUCACAUGUCAAGACUAUGAUAUCAUAUCAGGACUAGGAUAUCAAGUUUAUAAUAGAACAAUAAUUAUGUAUUAUUUAAACUUAUUUUCAUCAAACUAUAACUAAUACACAAUGGAUUUUUUAAUGGUAUAUACAGAUAUUUAAAAUUUGAAAUAAUUUUAGAUUUAUAGAAAAGUUACAACGAUACUAUAGCAAGUUCCAAGAAAUCCCUUCUCAGUUUCAGUUUUUCUUAAAUUUUGUUGUUGUUGUUGAGACGGAAUCUCGUUCGGUCUCCAGGCUGGAGUGUGGUGGCACGAUCUCGGCUCACUGCAACCUCCACCUCCUUGGUUCUAGCAAUUCUCCUGCCUCAGCCCCCUAAGUAGCUGGCACUACAGGCACGUGUCACCUCACAGCUAAUUUUUUUAUUUUUAGUAGAGACGAGGUUUCACCAUGUUGGUGGUCAAGACCACCAGGCUGGUCUUGAACUUCUGACCUCGUGAUCUGCCCACCUCGGCCUCCCAAAGUGCUGGGAUUACAGGUGUCAGCCAUUGUGCCCGGCUUCUUUAAUGUUAAAAAAAAAUGUUAAUGUCUUUGUCACAACUUUGGAAACUAUUAAGUGCAUUCCAAAUUUUAUUUGAAUUUCACCAGUUUUUCUACUAAUGUCUUUUUCCUGUCCAGGAUUCAAUCCAGAGUUUCAUGUUGCAUUUAUUCUCACGUCUCUGUAGUCUCUUCUGGUAUGGAACAAUUUCUCCAUCUUUCCUUAUUUUUCAUGAUCUUGAUAGUUUUGAGGGGUACUGGUUAGGGAUUUUGUAGAAGUGGACUUGGUGAUUAGAACCUAGGUCUGGCCGCCUACCCAUCACAGUAUCAGUAAAAGCCUCCCUUGAAAUUUACCAAUGGCAUGAACAUUUCAGAUGAGUCUGCCAUCUUUGGUCCUAGAGACCUGUCUUGGAGACAGAGACCUCACAGACUCAGAGAUUCAGGUGCUUUUUCUGGUAAUGAUUUUUGUCUGUGGGCUGAUUACAAAGGUGGAUGAGACUUUGGCCAAAGCUAAGGCUGCAGGGUCUGGGCUAAAAAAUUCCAGAAAAACUACCUUGCCAUGGGAGGCUGAGUUCCAAAUCACAGCCUGUGUGCAGCCUGCUUUACCAAAUAAUGAGGCACUGGGUGCUUUUUAAGGCAGCUGACCUUUGGAGCAAAUUAUCCAAGGAAAUCUGAUUAGCUAGUUCACUGGGUUCCUGCAAAAUGGAGCUUGGUGUAUUUCUGCAGCAGAAAUGUCAGCAUAAUUGGAGUUCCUGGAGCUCAAAGAGCUUCUUUCUUAUUGUUUCCAUCCUUUGGAGGGGAAAAAAAAAAACCCAAACAAACAAAACCCAAACCCCCAAAGAAUUGUCCUUUGACUUAUAUUCUUUGCUUUUGCACAUGGUUCAGAAGCUGCUCCUGACUGUGUUUACGACUUUAUUAAUCAGGGGAACAGCCCGAACAUCAUUUAAACAAACAAGGCCAAAAAAAAAAAAAAAAAAAAAAAAAUCCAUCCCCAAACAGAUGAUGUGAGCUUAAUAGAGAUGGCCAAGCCAAAGACCUUAAAUAAAUAAACUGACUUUAAUUUGUAGGAAGGAGCAUGGGGUCGUCAUUACUUGAGGCUGUGUGCCAUGCGAUGUAACCAAAUUUGAAACUCGCUAAUUUCAUUAUUUUAAUGGAAGUCUGCCUCCCAUUCAUUAGGCUGACAUAUGACUAGCCAUUAGUAACAGUCCACUUCCAAAGCUAUGGUGGAUAAAGGGUGAUUGGAAAUGAGCGAGGGCCAGGCCUGGUGGAGGCUGGCAAUUUCAGAAGGGAACUGGUGGGUGGGAUUUAUGCAAGAGGCAGGGAACACAACUAGGAAAAUUGUCAAUGUGGAUGGAGGCAGCAAACCAUUGAGUCCAAAUACAGGCUUGAGAGACCCGGGUUUGAAUUCUGGUUCUGCCACAUACUGGCUGUGUGACCUUGGGCAAGUUAUACCCCCGCACUGAGCUUCAGUUUGCUCAUCUGUGAGAUGGGAGUAAUCAUAGUUCCUAUCUCAUAGGGUUGCUUGCGAUGACUCAAUGAGGCAAAUUCUUAGGAGGCUCUAGUAUAGGGCUUGGCAAAAGUAACCACUUAAUAAAUGGUAGCUAUGAUGAUGAUAACGUUGGCCAAAGUCCCCAGUAUUUAGGGACUUGGAGAUUUUGCUAAUGAAGAAACGAAGGCUGACAGAAAUAAAGUAAGGUAUCCAAGUUUGCCCCAAACUUGGACUCAAAUUUCUGACUCUUAAUCCUAUACUCUUAAAAUCCUAUACUCUUAAAAAAAAUCCUAUACUCUUAGUCCUAUGCUCUUAAAACCCGUAUUUUAAAAAUUGUUUCAUUUCUUGAACAGGCCAGUCAUUCAUAUGAUUGAAAAAUUUAAAAACAAGAGUAUGCUAGAAUAGUCAGUGAAAAUUGUCCCUUCUGCCCGGAACAUUUCCUGUUCACAGACAGCCAUUGUUACGUGUUUCUUCUUUAUCUUUGCAGAAUUUCAGGUACGUACAAGCAAAUACAAAUGUAUAUGCACUUCUUUUUUUUUUUAUUACACAGACAGUUCUGUAUCCUGCCUUUUAAAACUUAUAUCCUUCUUAUCUUUCUGUAUCAGGGUAUAGUGAGUUCUUUCAUUCUUACUUAUAAUUAUAUGUUUUUCUAUUAUAAUGGAUAUAUUAUGUCUUAUUUAAUUAUUUCUCUCUUGAUGAACAGUUGGGAAAGUUCUCAUCUUUUGCUAUUACAAACCACAAUGCGAUGAAUAACAUUGCAUGUAUGUCAUUGUGUACAGGUGUGCGUAUAUUCUAGGAUAAAUUUCCAAAAGUAGAAUUGCUGAGUUACAGGGUAAAUGCAUUUCUGAUUUUGAUAGUGCUCAAAGGUCCGGGGGCACAUAGAGAUGGUGCUUUAGCAGUGAGCUUAGGCUGACAGCGGUUAAGAGAGACAUGCCUCAGGUUGCCAGUUAAAAAAAAAAUCUGCAUAAUGUGUUGCUUAAAGAAUGUGGUAAGGUGAAAGCUUGGAAAUACUGGUGUCAUUGGAAAGACAGAAAUAAGACAGAGAUUGUGUUGGGAAGAGAACAUGGAAUUUCAAGUAAUUUCUGCCUGGGUUUGCAUCUUGACCCUGCCACUCCUGGCUAUAUGACCUUGGGCAGGUUGCUUCACAUCUCUGAGCUCAGUAUUCUCACCUGUAAAAUAAAGACCAUGAUAACUUCCAUUAUAGGCUGCUGGAGGAAGUAAAGAAGAAAAUAUAAACAGCAGUUAGCAUGAUGUCUGGCACAUGGUGUGCAUUCAGGAUAUAACUGGGGCCUUUGGGUGAGUAACUAAGUUCAUAAUGACUCAUAACUAGCUAACAUUAUUAUAUUAUAUAUACUAUACUGUAUUAGUGGGAAAUAGCUAACAUUUAUUGAGUGUUUACUAUGUGGCAUGCACUGUGCUUACUGCCUCCCAUGAAACAUUCCACUUACCACUCAUAACAACUCUGUGAAGUAUUCUUGCUCACCUCAGCUUACAGAUGGGGAAACUGAGGCAGGACACUCAAGUACUUUGUCUGGUGAAACACUGUGAACAAACGACAGAGCUUAUAUUUGAACUGAAGCCACUUGUCUUGGAGGGCUCCUCUGAUCCCACAUCCUGUUCUUUUUUUUUUUUUUUUUUUUUUUUGGAGAUGGAGUUUUGCUCUUGUUGCCCAGUCUGGAGUACAGUGAUGCGAUCUCGGCUCACUGCAACCUCCCUCUCCCAGGUUCAAGCAGUUCUCCUGCCUCAGCCUCCAGAGUGGCCGGGAUUACAGGCACCCACCACCACGCCUGGCUAAUUUUUUGUAUUUUUAGUAGAGAUGGGGUUUCACCAUGUUGGCCAGGUUGGUCUCAAAUUCCUGACCACAGGUCAUCCACCCACCUCAGCCUCCCAAAGUGCUGGGAUUACAGGCAUGAGCCACUGCGCCCAGCCCAUCCUGUUCUUUUGAUCUACGUAUUAUAGCAUAAGAGGCUGACUUAUUCUGAGACAAGGACAUCAUGGGUGGAGCCCCCUUCUCAUCUCAGUGUGACCUAGUUCAGCUUCCCCAUCUCUUAGGCAGAUACCAUUGGGUUCAGAAAGGUUCAAGGGCACUUUUUCUCCUCUUAGCUUAGUGCUUCCUCAAAUGAUCCAUGACUUAUGACCUUAUGACGAUGCUGUGUGGUGAGUGUGAAAUCAGAUGAAGAUUUUUAUCCCGACAUGAUGAACACAAGCGUUGCAUAACCUGACUCGGGUUACCCAGGAUCUAUCCUCUGCUUGUGGUCACCACUGCUAGGAUUUUGGAAGAACCCUUUAAAAACUAAGCUCUCUGAGGACAGGCAUUUUUGUUUGGUUCACUAUUGUGAUGCCAAUGAUUAGAAAAAUGCCUGGGCCCACAGGAGGGACUUAUGUUCAAUGCAGAGGUGGAUAAAUGAGAAGGAGACUGUUUGCCGCAGAAUACUGAGAGAUUUUAUUGUUCUUGUCAUAGGAACCAGGCAGUAUUCCAGACAAACAUGACAUCAGUAACAUCCAUAUGUCUGUGAUGGGGUAGGAGAGAAGACUACUUUUCAGGUGGGACAUUUUGAUUGGAGAGGGUCUCUGAUUCAGAGAGUGAGGUGAGCUAUUUUCUUCUUGGGAGUUCUUGGCAUUUGAUAAUCCUUGGUGUUUAUUUCAAAUUAUGGAAGAAUUUGAGAUUUACUUAGACAUCUUGGCAUGCAGCGCUAAACCUCAGACUUCCUGAAUUUAUUUACCAGCUAGGGGAAGCAUAUUCCCCACUUUAAUUUUAUUUACAAAGGGCUCUAGUCUGGUGUGAAGUCUGAAGGCAUAUUUGUUGUAGGAGUUACUCAAUUAGCCAGCGAGAAAAGAACAAAGGAAAAGUCAUUAUGCAGAUGUAUGCCCAUUCAAAGCUAUUCCGCCUCUAGAUGCUUUCUUCGUAGUGAAUGGAGGAACUCCAGUCUGCAAGUCUCUCGUCUCUGCUGUGUUUUCUGCUAAUUCUCUUCUAAUAUUAGGCCAUGAAUGAUUAAUAAUAUUGCAUUUUGACACUGUUAGAUUUUGUCAAUUUUUUUCAAUAUAAAAGCAGAUAAUUACAGAUUACUUUAACAUCCAGGAAGUGAAAUCAACCAUGAAUUACACUCAGACUCAUCCACAACCCCUUGAAUAUAUUUCUUUUUUUUUUUCAAUAGGAGAUUGAAGUUUCUUUCUUUAGUCAUUUACACAAGUCAUGUCUGACAAUUGAGAAAAUGCUGUUCACAUAAAACAUCAUAAAUUAAAAAUAUACAGUGUUUGUAUUUUAAUACAAUAGGGUCCCAGGAUUCAAACAAAGAAUUCUGAUCUCAGAGGUUGCAUUAUGUAGUUAUGUGUUCUGCUUUAAAGCACUAUACUGGAGGUGAACUUGAAACUGCCUUUGCAAAAAUUAUAACUGAGGAAAUUAUGACAAUGAAGGAGAUCAGACCUAACCAGCUACAGCUUGCAUCUAAUCUUAAAGCUAUCCUUAUUCAUUCCUGGGCAUAGGCCGAAAUAACCUUGGGAAGGAAUUUAGUUUACAGUUUGACUCUGAAACAAAAUUGAUAAUAGCCCUUUCCUGAAAAGACCCCCUUCUUGCCUGGUGACCAGUCUGCCUUUGUAGGACUAACAAAUUGGCUACAAGAUUGGAAAUUAUGGUUUAGGGGUCAUGCAGCCCCUGACUCCAAGAGUCUGAACCUCCCCAGAUUGCUCCUAGGGAUAGCAUCAUUAUUGUAAAACUGAAGAUCAGUGCUUGAGAUAUCUUGCAAACCCUGCACUCAGUGGAUCAGCUGACACCACCCAGACUGGUAACUUGGCUCCCAGUUCUGCCAUCCCACCCAGGAACAGAAGACCACAAGAAAACCUCACUUCCACCCCCUAUGAUACCAUCUCCAACCUGACCAAUCAGCACCACUUCCUGGGCCGCUACCCACCAAAGUAUCUCUAAAAACUCUGAUCCCCAAAUGCUCCAGGAAGGCUGAUUUGAAUAAUAAUAAAACUCAGGUCUCCCGCACACGUGGCUCCGUGUGAAUUACUGUUUUUCCACUGCAAUUCCCCCAUCUUGCUAAAUUGGCUCUGUCUAGGCAGGGGGCCAGGUGAACGCAUUGGAUGGUAUAUUUCUCAAGAGUCAAAUAUUAAUAGGUUUCACAUGUAAGACUUACGUAUGUGUGUGUGUGUGUUUACAUACACAUAUAUUUCAAUAGCUUUUGGGGUUCAAGUGGUUUUUGGUUACAUGGAUGAAUUAUAAAUUAUAUAGUGGUAAAGUCUAAGAUUUUAGUACCUGUCACCUGAGUAGUGUACACUGUACCCAAUAUGUAGUUUUUGUAUCCUUCAUUCCCUUUUCAUCCUCUCCUCUUCUGAGUCUCCAGUGUCCAUUAUAUCACUCUGUAUGCCUUUAUGUACCUAUGGCUUAGUUCCCACUUAUAAGUGAGCAUAUAUGGUAUUUGGUUUUCCAUUCCUGAGUUAUUUCACUUAGAAUAACGGCCUCCAGCUCCAUCCAAGUUGCUGCAAUGACAUUAUUAUAUUAUUAUUUUUUCAUGGCUGAGUAGUAUUCCAUGGUGUAUAUGUACACACAUUUUCUUUAUCCACUCAUUGGUCAAUGAGCACUUAGGUUGGUUUCAUAUCUCGACAAUUGUGAAUCCUAAAUUUUACAUGCAAGGUUUUGCAUCUGUAGAGGAAGACAGGAUUCUCAGUGCAUGUGCCAAUUUUUGGGUUUUCCACUUGAGAAUCUUCACCAGUUUCCUCUUCAGAAUCAAAUUCCUGACUAUCUGGUGCUUCAAAGUUAUCCAGAGGUUCAUCAUUCAGUCUCUGGGUUGCCUCUGUCAUAUACUGUACUCUGCCGCUUUUGCCAAUUGCUUACUCUCCUUUUCCAAGUGGUCAAUUUCAUUGUUCUUUCUUCAAUUUCUCUGUGAAGCUUCUCAUUUUCCUUAAGUGUUUCAUAGAGGGUGUUCCUUUGUUCUGCGACUUCUCUCCAAUAUUGAGGGGAUAAAUUUCAUUUAAUCCUAAGAUCAAAUGCUUCUUGGGUGACUCCUCCAAGGAUUUAAUUGUCACUCUAUUCUGGGACAAUGACAACUCUAGAGUGGGAAGUCCUGGCUGUCAACUGGUCAUUCCAAUGCUUCCUCUUGGAUAUGUUUUGGGCCAGUCACUUUUUUUUUUUUUUUUCCCAACAAGAGAUCUGGCUGUGGAAGGAUGAAUCAUCUUCAGAGUUCUUCUUGGGGAGAAACUGUUCUUUACAUUCUCUUUGAUUCUUCCUUGUUUCUACUUUAUCCUAGGAUUCAUUAUACAGCUGGUAAAGCACAAAAGAUGGGAGGAGAGGAUUAAUGAUCAUAGUGAAUUCAGGUGGCUGUGGCACAGCCAACCUACAUUGAUCCCCACUGUCGCUGGAGUGGCUGGGGCACACUGCUGAAAAGACUUACUCCUCUGGAACAUACUCCUUUGAGUCGUUUUUGUAUAUGUAAUUUUGCAUAUUUUUUUCUUUUUUUAUUAUUAUACUUUAAGUUUUAGGGUACACGUGCACAACAUGCAGGUUAGUUAUGUAUGUAUACAUGUGCCAUGUUGGUGUGCUGCACCCAUUAACUCGUCGUUUAGCAUUAGGUAUACUUUUAAUCGUAGUGCCAUACAAUUGUAUUGCAUUUUCCAUUUAUAGCAUAUUAUAAUUAUUUUGACUUUUAUUAUGAAAUUUUCAAACAGAAAAGUAGAUAGUAUAAUAAAAUAAAAAGUAUAUAUAUAACAAGUAUGUCGGCUGGGUGUGGUGGCUCAUGCCUUUAAUCCCAGCACUUUGGGAGGCUGAGGCAGGCAGAUCACUUGAGGUCAGGAGUUCGAGACCAGCCUGGCCAACAUGGUGAAACGCUAUCUCUACUAAAAAUAAAAAAAAUUAGCUGGGUUUGGUGGUGGGUGCCCGUAAUCCCAUCUACUCAAGAGGCUGAGGCAGGGGAAUCACUUGAACCUGGGAGGUGGAGGUUGCAGUGAGCCAAGAUCAUGCCACUGCACUCCAGCCUGGGCAACAGAGCAAGACUCCAUCUAAAAAAAAAUUAUAUAUAUAACAAGUAUGUAAACAAAAUACAUAAGUAAAAGGUAGAAUAAAAAAAGAUAGCAUAAUACACACCCAUGUAUUUAUCGCUUAGAAUUAACACUAAUAUUAUAUUUUCUUUGUGCAUUUUUUCUUAAGUGGUUCAAAAGGAAGUACAGACAUCAUGAUAUUAAACCCUAAAUCAGUGGCUCUCAACUGAGGGUAAUUUUGACCCAUGUCCUCCGCAAGAGGACUUUUGGCACUGUCUGGAGACAAUGUUGGUUGUCACAAAAGGAAGCAUGCCUGCAUCCCUGGUAGAGAUCAGGGAUGUUACUAAACAUGCUACAAUGCACAGGACUGCCCCCUCCAAAACAAAGAAUUACCUGGUUCUAAAUGCCAGUAGUGCUAAGGUUGAAAACCUUUGGUCUAAAUGAUUAAGAAUGCGUUUCUUAAAAUGCAAAAUUUCACAUAACCGCAUAGCACCAUCACUUCUAACAAAGUGAAAAAUAACUCUUUAAAAUUGUCUAAUAACCAGUCCAUGUUUCUCCACCAUUCCACUAAAAUGUUUUUUACAGCUGGUUUUAGCAAACACUUUCCAUUUUAUUAGCACUGUUAAUAGAAUCUCAUUCUAAAUGACUACAGAAGAGUCUGUUCAAUGGAUUCCCUGAAAUUUAUUCAAAGGAUCUAUUUUUAGAUACUAGUUUUGCUUCCAGGUUUUAGACAAAUUAUAUUUUUGUAAAUAAUGACAGUUUACUUCUUUUCUUACUUUGUGCCUUUUCUUUCUUUUAUUUGCCUUAUGUUCUGGCUAAAAACUUCAGUGAAUACUGAACACAGCGUAUGAGAGUGGGCAUCCUUUUGUUGUUCCAGAUUUUAGGAGCAAAAGAUUUAAUAUUUUAUUAAUUAUGAUAUUAACUGUAGGUUUUUAAAGAUGAACCUUAUCAUAUUGGAGAUGUUCCCAUCUAUUCCUAGUUUCACUGAGCGUUUUUAUCAUAAAGAACUAAUGAUUUCUGUCAAAUUUUUUUUCUGUGUAUUUUGAAAUGAUCAAAUGGUUUUCCCUGUUACUCUGUUAUAGUAUGAUGAAUUAUAUUGAUUGAAUUUCAUUAAACCAACCUUGCUUUCUUGGAAUAAA